RNAcentral lists this ribosomal RNA (351 nucleotides) under uncultured bacterium. RNAcentral's name for it is "partial 16S ribosomal RNA". It matches the Rfam family "Bacterial small subunit ribosomal RNA", at positions 338 to 706 of the family's 1533-position model. The record is from RNAcentral.
CCUACGGGUGGCAGCAGUGGGGAAUAUUGCACAAUGGGGGAAACCCUGAUGCAGCGACGCCGCGUGAGCGAUGAAGUAUUUCGGUAUGUAAAGCUCUAUCAGCAGGGAAGAAAAUAACGGUACCUGACUAAGAAGCCCCGGCUAACCACGUGCCAGCAGCCGCGGUAAUUCGUAGGGGGCAAGCGUUAUCCGGAUUGACUGGGUGUAAAGGGGGCGUAGACGGCUGUGCAAGCCAGAGGUGAAAGCCCGGGGGUCAACCCGGGGACUGCAUUGGGAACUGUGUGGCUGGAGUGUGGGAGAGGCAGGCGGAAUGCGUGGUGUAGCGGUGAAAUGCGUAGAUAUAAGGAGGAA